AACGCUAGCUACAGGCUUAACACAUGCAAGUCGAGGGGCAGCAUUAGGUAGCAAUACUGAGAUGGCGACCGGCGCACGGGUGCGUAACGCGUAUCCAACUUUCCCGUUACUCUGGGAUAGCCUUCCGAAAGGGAGAUUAAUACCGGAUGGUGUUGAAAUUUCGCAUGUCAUUUCAACUAAAGGUUUAUCGGUAACGGAUAGGGAUGCGUGACAUUAGGUAGAUGGCGGGGUAACGGCCCACCAUGCCCACGAUGUCUAGGGGUUCUGAGAGGAAGGUCCCCCACACUGGAACUGAGACACGGUCCAGACUCCUACGGGAGGCAGCAGUGAGGAAUAUUGGUCAAUGGUCGGAAGACUGAACCAGCCAAGUAGCGUGAAGGAUGAAGGUUCUAUGGAUUGUAAACUUCUUUUGUCGUGGAACAAAACCUGCCACGUGUGGCAGUUUGCGUGUACACGUUGAAUAAGCAUCGGCUAACUCCGUGCCAGCAGCCGCGGUAAUACGGAGGAUGCGAGCGUUAUCCGGAUUUAUUGGGUUUAAAGGGAGCGUAGGUGGUUUAUUAAGCAAGCUGUGAAAUACUGCCGCUCAACGGCAGCCGUGCAGUUUGAACUGGUAGACUUGAGUGUACAAGAGGAAAGUGGAAUUCGUGGUGUAGCGGUGAAAUGUUUAGAUAUCACGAAGAACUCCAAUUGCGUAGGCAGCUUUCUAGGGUACAACUGACACUGAGGCUCGAAAGUGUGGGUAUCAAACAGGAUUAGAUACCCUGGUAGUCCACACGGUAAACGAUGAAUACUCGCUGUUGGCGAUAUACGGUCAGCGGCCAAGCGAAAGCAUUAAGUAUUCCACCUGGGGAGUACGCCGGCAACGGUGAAACUCAAAGAAAUUGACGGGGGCCCGCACAAGCGGAGGAACAUGUGGUUUAAUUCGAUGAUACGCGAGGAACCUUACCCGGGCUUAAAUUGCACUGGACAGGCUCAGAGAUGGGCUCUUCUUCGGACCAGUGUGAAGGUGCUGCAUGGUUGUCGUCAGCUCGUGCCGUGAGGUGUCGGCUUAAGUGC
This 1056-nucleotide ribosomal RNA is filed under the name uncultured Bacteroidales bacterium. RNAcentral describes it as "bacterial SSU rRNA". It matches the Rfam family "Bacterial small subunit ribosomal RNA", at positions 32 to 1087 of the family's 1533-position model. The record is from RNAcentral. Lineage: Bacteria; Pseudomonadati; Bacteroidota; Bacteroidia; Bacteroidales.